GACGAACGCUGGCGGCGUGCUUAACACAUGCAAGUCGAACGGAAAGGCCCUGCUUGCAGGGUACUCGAGUGGCGAACGGGUGAGUAACACGUGGGUGAUUUGCCCUGCACUUCGGGAUAAGCCUGGGAAACUGGGUCUAAUACCGGAUAGGAGCCAUUUUUAGUGUGAUGGUUGGAAAGUUUUUUCGGUGUAGGAUAAGCUCGCGGCCUAUCAGCUUGUUGGUGGGGUAAUGGCCUACCAAGGCGGCGACGGGUAGCCGGCCUGAGAGGGUGGACGGCCACAUUGGGACCGAGAUACGGCCCAGACUCCUACGGGAGGCAGCAGUGGGGAAUAUUGCACAAUGGGCGCAAGCCUGAUGCAGCGACGCCGCGUGGGGGAUGACGGCCUUCGGGUUGUAAACUCCUUUCGCUAGGGACGAAGCUUUUUGUGACGGUACCUAGAGAAGAAGCACCGGCUAACUACGUG
This 465-nucleotide ribosomal RNA is filed under the name uncultured bacterium. RNAcentral describes it as "partial 16S ribosomal RNA". It matches the Rfam family "Bacterial small subunit ribosomal RNA", at positions 28 to 507 of the family's 1533-position model. The record is from RNAcentral.